GACGAACGCUGGCGGCGUGCUUAACACAUGCAAGUCGAACGGAAAGGCCUCUUUCGGGGGGUACUCGAGUGGCGAACGGGUGAGUAACACGUGAGUAACCUGCCCUUGACUUUGGGAUAACUUCAGGAAACUGUGGCUAAUACCGGAUAGGAGCUCCUGCUGCAUGGUGGGGGUUGGAAAGUUUCGGCGGUUGGGGAUGGACUCGCGGCUUAUCAGCUUGUUGGUGGGGUAGUGGCUUACCAAGGCUUUGACGGGUAGCCGGCCUGGGAGGGUGACCGGCCAAAUUGGGACUGAGAUACGGCCCAGACUCCUACGGGAAGCAGCAGGGGGGAAUAUUGCACAAUGGGUGGAAGCCUGAUGCAGCAACGCCGUGUGCGGGAUGACGGCCUUCGGGUUGUAAACCGCUUUCGCUCAUGACGAAGCUUUGUGUGACGGUAGUGGGUAAAGAAGCACCGGCUAACUACGUG
This 467-nucleotide ribosomal RNA is filed under the name uncultured bacterium. Its description in RNAcentral is "partial 16S ribosomal RNA". It matches the Rfam family "Bacterial small subunit ribosomal RNA", at positions 28 to 507 of the family's 1533-position model. The record is from RNAcentral.